GAAGAGCGUCAUCAUCAUCAUCAUCAUCAGCUUGGACACGUGGUUAAGAUUAAUUACGAUUAAUUGAUCAAUAUUAAAACGAGUUACACUUUUGAUUAUACAACUGAUAUUGAACAUCGAAGAGAUCAAGCUGCAGUUUACAGUAAGAAGACUCAGCAUCAUGAAGAACAAGGAUCUCAGCUUCAGACACGUGCGAGGAACACCAGUAAGAUCAUAACAAUAC
This is a long non-coding RNA of Onychostoma macrolepis, 223 nucleotides long. RefSeq lists it as uncharacterized. The transcript is spliced from 3 exons. The record is from RefSeq and is a predicted model, not a curated record. Lineage: Eukaryota; Metazoa; Chordata; Actinopteri; Cypriniformes; Cyprinidae.